UACGAAGGGGACUAGCGUUGUUCGGAAUCACUGGGCGUAAAGCGCACGUAGGCGGAUGUGUCAGUCAGGGGUGAAAUCCCGGGGCUCAACCUCGGGACUGCCUUUGAUACAGCACGUCUCGAGUCCGGAAGAGGUGGGUGGAAUUCCUAGUGUAGAGGUGAAAUUCGUAGAUAUUAGGAAGAACACCGGUGGCGAAGGCGGCCCACUGGUCCGGUACUGACGCUGAGGUGCGAAAGCGUGGGGAGCAAACAGG
Molecule: ribosomal RNA, 253 nt
Filed under: uncultured bacterium
Lineage: Bacteria
Description: partial 16S ribosomal RNA
Rfam family: Bacterial small subunit ribosomal RNA
Source: RNAcentral